CCCAGUCACAUUGCCGAGGCCUGAAACAGAAGGGCCAACACUGCCAAUACUGACUCUUGGCAUAAAUGUCAUUGUCGAUAAAAGCCUUUGUAUGAAGUGCUUGUAAUUAUAUUUCAGUCCAUCACAGAAACUCAGAACACAAGAGUUGAAGGAUUUCCUGCCCCAUUUUGCAUCCAAACUCUCUAUAUUUUGGGCAAAUGGGGAACAGCGACGCUGCUGGCUGUGAGCGGUACUACAGGCACCCAGGAGCUACGGGCAGAGAAAUGUAGCGCAGGCGCAGUCUCGUCACCCCGCUACGUGUUACGUCACCGCGCAUAUAUUGCGUGCAAUUGUAACGGGGAUGUGCCGGGGACCGAGGAACCGCAAGUUAAAGGCGCAGACAGACGGUUACGCAGUGACUGGAGACUGUGUAACGAAAUGCAGGAGUAGCAGUUAUUUUCAGACAUCCCCUAAGAGGACGUGGGGGUUGGGGAUAAAGGAGUUUUUGGGCCCGACACGUAGUGCGCCGGGGCGGGGCUUCUGAGUGAGGCGUACGCAGAGUACGUACUGACGCGGCUGCGCUGUGCGUUCCGGAAGGGGGCGGAUCCCAUGAGGCAAAGCCAUGCCCCGUACUGAGGAACUCGGCAAGAAGCCGCCAUAUGCCCGGCGGGACCGCAAGUCCGACACUCGGGAGCCCGGGGCCGGGAUGGAGCCGCUAGUCCGGGCCGGAGCUUCCCAUUCGGGGGAGAAUGAAGCCUCUACCCCAUUCACCUCCGCAUCAGAGUCUGAGGGGGACACGGAGGAGCCGCAACCGAGCCAAAAUGCCCAGUUCUCCUCCAUGUCCUUUGAGGAACUGAUCCAUUUGCAGAAUAAUGUCGGCACCAAACUCUUCUACAAAGCGGCCGGGGGCAGGAAGGCUCCAGGGGGGGCAACGAGAGCCAAGAGGCCGGCGCUGGACAAGAACCAACCCGCCGAGGUCUCCUCCAAGCAGCCCGUGGGGUUUCUGCGCAAGGUGGUCCCAGCCAAGAAGCAGAUGCGCAGGGACCCCCGAUUCGAUGAUCUCUCCGGCGAAUACAAAGCAGAGGUGUUUGAGAAGACCUACAAGUUCCUGGGGGAUAUAAAGAAGCAGGAGAAGGAUAUGGUGCAGAAGAGGCUACAGAAAGCCCGGGACCCUGAGCUGAAGGAGAAGUUGGGGCAACUGGCAAGGCGACUGGAUGAGCAGGAGGCUGCGGCCCAGAUACGGCACAAACAGAGAGAGCGGGAACUGGAGUUUAAGAAACAGCAGAGAGAACUGGCUCAGCAGGGCAAGAAACCCUUCUACCUGAAGAGAAGUGACCUGCGCAAGAUGGAACUGGCGGAUAAAUACAAAGAGCUGAAGAAGAAGGGGAAACUGGAGCAUUUCCUGAGCAAGAAGAGGAAGCGGAACUCUCACAAGGACCGGAGGAAACUUCCCAGCCUGCAAUAGGGCUGUCACUGGGCUGCCGCCAUCUUGGCUCCUACUGGCCCAGGGCUGGUCUGACUGAGGCUGCCUUUCUGAUUGGUGGGAAUUGGCUUCAGCACCUGCGCCAUUUUGUCUGGACUACUGACACCAACUGAUCUUUACCCUGGCAGGGGCAUCUCCUUGGAAUAUAUCAGUUGCUUGCCCUGGCAGGGGCAUUUUCUUGAAAUAUCAGUUGUUCUGUUACCCUUGCCUCUGUUUGGCCUCUCUCCAUAGGAGUGCCCCCCCAGUAAUGGGCACAGGUUGGCACCUGGAUCACGAAGGAGAUCCCACACUGCACAAGUUACUGUUCUGUCUGGAAAUUUCAUCUGAGAGAGAUCCACAUGGUCUGUGGGCCAAUAAGAUCAGGGGCAAUACAGUGACUGCACGGACCAAUCCGUGUCUGUGGGACUUACCUGCCGCCCCAGAGCUGUGAGAGUGUUCGUUAUUGCUGAGAGCGGCCAAUCAGAAUGUGACUGUAGGGACAGCAGCGCCGCUCCAUAAGGAUAAUGUCAGGCCCGGUAGAACAAGCGCUUCCUAGUAAUGGGGCAAUAAAUGCAGCCAUCGGGGGCGCUGCCAUUCUGCUUGUCCUGUUGCAUCACAUGACUUCAUUAAAUGUUCUGUUAUUUCACAAAGAA
This is a non-coding RNA of Xenopus tropicalis (tropical clawed frog), 2094 nucleotides long. NCBI's taxonomy places the organism in Eukaryota, Metazoa, Chordata, Amphibia, Anura, Pipidae. The record is from RefSeq and is a predicted model, not a curated record.